AGGAGAACGUUCUCUUCGGAGAACUAGUAAACUGGCGGACGGGUGAGUAACGCGUAGGAAACCUGCCCUAAAGACUGGGAUAACAUACCGAAAGGGAUGCUAAUACCAGAUAAUACUCUAUACUGCAUGGUAUAGACUCAAAGGAGGCAUUUCGGUGCUUCUACUUUUGGAUGGUCCUGCGUCUGAUUAGCUUGUUGGUAGGGUAACGGCCUACCAAGGCAAUGAUCAGUAGCUGGUUCGAGAGGAUGAUCAGCCACACUGGGACUGAGAUACGGCCCAGACUCCUACGGGAGGCAGCAGUGAGGAAUUUUGCGCAAUGGGCGAAAGCUUGACGCAGCAACGCCGCGUGAUCGAAGAAGCUCUGAGGAGUGUAAAGAUCUGUCAUAAGGGAANAAUGCUUUUAUAUACUAACACUAUAUAGAAUUGACGGUACCUUAUAAGAAAGCCCCGGCUAACUUGGUGCCAGCAGCCGCGGUAAUACCAGGGGGGCAAGCGUUGUCCGGAUUCAUUGGGCGUAAAGGGUUCGUAGGCGGAUUGGAAAGUCAAAAUUGAAAUGUUACGGCUUAACCGUAAAAAUGGUUUCGAUACUACCAGUCUUGAAUCAUGCAGGGGUAAGUGGAAUUCCUGGUGUAGCGGUGAAAUGCGUAGAUAUCAGGAGGAACACCAAAAGCGAAGGCAGCUUACUGGGCAUGUAUUGACGCUGAGGAACGAAAGCGUGGGUAGCAAACAGGAUUAGAGACCCUGGUAGUCCACGCCGUAAACGAUCAGCACUUGGUGAUGGGAGAUUCGACCCUUUCAUUGCCGGAGUUA
This 810-nucleotide ribosomal RNA is filed under the name uncultured bacterium. RNAcentral describes it as "bacterial SSU rRNA". It matches the Rfam family "Bacterial small subunit ribosomal RNA", at positions 66 to 854 of the family's 1533-position model. The record is from RNAcentral.